CAUUUUGAUUGUACAGAGGAGCUCGUGGUUGUGUGUGCAUUGAGCGGAUUUACUGCGUUUUAUAAUAUUCUUUCUUGAUUUAUUUGAAGUGCAUGUGUGACGAGUGAACCUUGUGGUGAUUGGUAAAGGAUUGGUGGUGGGUACGUGAGCUGCAGGGACCCAGAGAGGAGGCUGUCAACUGUCCUGUGGGUGUCCAGCGUGACGACGUCGGCUAAGGGUUCGUGGCCAAGGGACCGGAUAGUUGGACGAAGAGGGGACUGAAGCUAUGGCAGCUAUUGCUAUAGCUAUUGCCAGCCUAAGUAGAGAGCCAUCUAGGUCUUACAUAUAUGUGCCAAGAGAGCGCCACAUUCAGUCUUUUAGUGGCAAUCUUAACAAAGAUGGUAGAAAUGUAGAUGAAUUCAUUGAAGAAGUGGAAAGGGUAUUGCUUGUGAGAAACCAGACUCCAGAAGACCAAACUUACUUUGUUCUUUCCCUAUUGAAAGGUGCCGCUUUGGAAGA
Long non-coding RNA from Carassius auratus (goldfish), 498 nucleotides. RefSeq lists it as uncharacterized. The record is from RefSeq and is a predicted model, not a curated record. Lineage: Eukaryota; Metazoa; Chordata; Actinopteri; Cypriniformes; Cyprinidae. The transcript is spliced from 3 exons.